ACGAGCGCUCAGCGCCGCGCGCGACGGCCACAGCCGGGUCAGAAAAGUGGACGCCGCACCCCGGGCUUUCUGGGAGCGGAACGCACAGGUCGGCCCCGCGGCCCGGCUCGCCCUCUUCUCGCUGCCCCUGCGCACCGAUUCUCUCCGGGAAUCGUCCACAAGAGCCCGAGUCCGCCCUCUCCUUCCGGCAGCGGCCGCGCCGAGCCCGCGGCCCUGGACGCCCGCCCCACCAAGUGCCGGCGCAGCCCGGAGAAUCCGCCGCCCCAAGUUCGCCCGAGCACUGAGGCAUUUGGCACUUGGCGGACAGCGAGUCGUCCUGUGUUUGGCUUUUGCUCUUCUCCACCCGGUUUGUGGAGAUUGACAGCAAGUCUGUGCUCACUCUCCCACCUUGUCUCUGCACUUGUCUCGUCAGGCCUACGCUGUGCAGGUAUUCCUGCCCAGGUUUUGAGCUGACCAGAGAAAAUCACCAUCACAAUGACCAAAUCAAACAGCUGCAUGGGACCUAAGAGGUGAGUUCGUCCUAACUUUUAUUUUACACAGG
This is a long non-coding RNA of Bos taurus (domestic cattle), 541 nucleotides long. Lineage: Eukaryota; Metazoa; Chordata; Mammalia; Artiodactyla; Bovidae. The record is from Ensembl.